UUAGUUCAACAGGUUCCACUUAAUAUCCUUUGCGUAACUCCCCUGUCCUUCAUGUUAAAUGAAGUAUCUGUUUUCUUUUUUUUUUCAACAGUGCAAAAUAGACACACAGACCUGCUCCUUGCUUGGAAAUUUCAAGCAACAGUUCUUGGAAACCAUAUGGAGAUCAGCCUGGGAGUUUUGCAAGGUAAGGGACUGCCUGCGAUGCCAGGAUGUCUGGCUGGGUGCAGAGAUUUGCAUCUUUUCUGUUUUGAAAUUAUUCUAUUGUAACAAUUUUCAUUUUAGUUUAGUUUGGCAAUACGUCCUUGUUUCUAAAGGUGUCUACACUUAUUAGACUACAGAAAAUAUUUACUUUUCUAAAGGGCAGCUUAACCUUUGUUUAAAUUUGAGGUGAGCAAAAGGUCAUUGUAAUUAUUUGCUGCAUUAUUUGUGUCACAUCUGAGUUACUAUGAAGGCUGAACAUGCACUGCCCUUUAUUAAGAAACUUAACAAAACCCAGUGCAACCACAUUUUUUGCAUUUAGCAAAUAUUUUACUGAACUGAUGGCAGUUACAGGAAACUUUCACCAUGCAAGCUCUGACUGAGACUAAGUUAGCAGAAGAC
This 600-nucleotide long non-coding RNA is filed under the name Anas platyrhynchos platyrhynchos (common mallard). RNAcentral describes it as "lncRNA (ENSAPLG00000030032.1)". Lineage: Eukaryota; Metazoa; Chordata; Aves; Anseriformes; Anatidae. The record is from RNAcentral.